GAGAAAUGACGAGCUUUACAUUGGUCCGUGUUUCUGAAUCACCGUGACCGACAAAUCUUACCAAUUUCUGAUCUC
RNAcentral lists this small nucleolar RNA (75 nucleotides) under Medicago truncatula (barrel medic). Its description in RNAcentral is "snoRNA gene28213". It matches the Rfam family "Small nucleolar RNA SNORD18". From Rfam's summary of the family: U18 is a member of the C/D class of snoRNA which contain the C (UGAUGA) and D (CUGA) box motifs. It is encoded in introns of ribosomal protein L1 in Xenopus and human, and in introns of elongation factor 1 beta in yeast. The record is from Rfam by way of RNAcentral. Lineage: Eukaryota; Viridiplantae; Streptophyta; Magnoliopsida; Fabales; Fabaceae.